GAUGAAGAACGCAGCGAAAUGCGAUAAGUAAUGUGAAUUGCAGAAUUCAGUGAAUCAUCGAAUCUUUGAACGCACCUUGCACCCUUUGGACUGCUCCAAAGGGUAUGCUCGUUUGAGUGUCAUUGUACUCUCACACUCUCUGAUCCUUUGGAUUUGGGGAGCAGUGGACUUGGGUGCUUGCUGCUUCCUUGUGGCUCACCUGAAAUGCAUCAGUGCAUCUCUCGAUUGGACAUAGUACGGCGUGAUAAGUGUCUUCGCCGGCACCUCAUAUGAGGGUGGGCGAUCGGGAGCUCUGUGCUUUCAAACCGUCUUCGGACAACGCUGACAACUUGACCUCAAAUCGAGUAGGACUACCCGCUGAACUUAAGCAUAUCAAUAAGCGGAGGA
RNAcentral lists this unclassified non-coding RNA (387 nucleotides) under soil metagenome. RNAcentral's name for it is "partial contains 5.8S ribosomal RNA, internal transcribed spacer 2, and large subunit ribosomal RNA". The stretch from base 1 to 122 matches the Rfam family "5.8S ribosomal RNA", at positions 35 to 154 of the family's 154-position model. The record is from RNAcentral.